UGUAGAAUUUUACUUAGUCUUUAUUUUGACACUUCUCAGGUUGAAUUUUAUAUCCCUCGUUACUAUCAUUAGAUCCUUACAUGUAUUAAAUUUUAUAUUUUUUUGUGAAAUAAAGUAAUUUUAACUAAUGAAGCGAGUUGAACAAAAUAAUAUGACAUGAAACAUGGUAAUAAAAAGGCAAGUUUGGUUUAGUAGACCAUACUUUAUUUAACAAAGUAAGUGGGAAACAAAACAAUACAUAGAUGCAUGUUUCUAGUUUUCAGGGAGGUUCCAAGUUUCUAUAUCCUCAUCCCUUAGGUUUAAUUAUUAUCGUCUUCGUCUCCGUCACCUUCGUCUCCGUCACCAUUGUCUCCGUCGUCGGGAUUUUCUUUAUCGUCUUCGAAGGGUGCCUCACUAUUACCAUUUUCUCCUUCACUAUUAUUGUCUCCUCUUCCCCAUCCCCAUGGUAACCAACCCAAUGCCAAAUCUCUCAAACCUCCCCAAUCUACAUACCUUCUCAUUAAAGUACUAUAUUCGGAUUGCUCAGCUGCCACAAUAGUCAUAAGAAGGGGAACACACAGAAAGAAUACUAAGAUAAAAAAUUUUGUUUUCAUCCUUGCUUAAAUUUCUUAAAGUUUGUUGUAAAAUAUGAAUAAUAUCCUCAAAUAUUUAUAGUGAUCACGCAUGGGAAAAAUAAGAUAAUUUUAAAAGACAAAAACAUAUUGAAGAAAAAUAUAUUGCGUACUAAAAAAAAAGACAAUAUGUAUUCCAUGGCCAAUUGCAAAGACAAUGGGUCAUCAAAAUCCAUAGAGCCAUGGAAAGGUUAAAUAAAUUAGAACAUGUUUGUCUUUUGGAUCAUGAUAAUUUGAGGAUUAAAGAGACGUUUUAUACAAUUAAUCUUUUCUAAAAAGUUGCUUUUGGUUAAAUUGUUUCAGAAAAUAGAAUUUAAAACUAGCGAGUUGUAAAAUUUGGCUUCCUAAUAAAUUUAGGAUAAAAGUGAUGUAAUGUCCAAUUAAUUCUAAAUGAGUGAUUUAUUUUGACUAUUAAAUGUUUUAAUAUUGGAAUAUUAAAUUUUUAGUAUCUAAAAAAUUUUGAAAUUUUAUUUUUAGUACUUAUUAAAAAAAAUUAUAUUUUUUAGUUUCUACAAAAUUGUUAUAUAAGUAGUUUAAUUUAUACCAUAUUGGAACAUCAAUAUAUAUAUAUAUAUAUAUUUGAAUACUUUUUUUUUUUUUGCAUACAUGCUGACAUUAUAAAAAGUUCAACAUAAAAAAUGAUAUCAAAAUUCAAUUUCUAGAUCUAUAUUUUAAAGACUUUUAUCUUAAAUAGACGACGUUUAAUUAAUUCAUCCCAAAUUAAAAAAAAAUUAUAUGAAUUAAUUUUUAAUAAUAUUCUAAACAUGCUUACAAUAUUAUUCAAAUAUUUAAAAGUUGAAGAAUAUUUUAUUUCAUCAGAGACUAAAAUAAUUUGAUUAAUAAUUUUAUAGGAAUUAAAAAAAAUGUAUGCACACAUAAAAAAAUAAAAAAUUAUCAUCUUUAUAUGGGUCUAAGAACACAACUAAAACAAAUCAAACAAUAACUUCUCGUUUUAAUUAUGAGUUAUAUUUGGUAUUUGUAACAUUUUAUUUUAUUUUUACAUCUUACCUUAUUAUGAGUUGAUAUAAUUAUUCUAUAAAUUAUUGGUGAUAAUUAUUAUUGUAAUGUGUUAUUUUAAUUUUUAAUAAUAAUAAUAAUAAUAAUAAUAAUAAUAAUAAUAAUAAUAAUAAAAGGGAAUCGUUAAAAACAAAUUUCAUGAUUUAGAGGCUGUAAAUACACGUUUCCCAUUUAAUAUCACGUUUUCCAUUUAAUACCCUCCCCUUUAAUACACAUCCCCAUUUAAUAGCACACGUUACCCACUUCUAAUGAUAAAAAAUGAAUAAAACAAAACAUAAAAAGAAAUAAAACAAAAAUGGGUUUAAGAGAGAAAAAGAAAUAAAUUCAAGAACUAAAUGAGUUACUGAUUCAUCCCUUAAGUAUAGCACAUUUGGAGCAAAGACUUGGGUGAGAAUUUUAAUAACGCCACUCAUAUCGAUAAGGGCGUGACUCCAUCCGCUUUUCUAAUUGAAUUAUUGUUUGUGUGUUAUAUUCAAAAUGAAUAUUAAUAAUUAUUGUGUUUGACAUGUUCAAAAUGUGGAAAAUAAAUGUUAUGUGAUAUGUUGUUAUAAUGGUUGUGUUGAGCAUAUUCAAAGUGUGAAGAAUAAAUGUUAUGUGAUAUGUUGUUAUAAUGGUUGUGUUGAACAUAUUCAAAGUGUGGAAAAUAAAUGUUAUGUGAUAUGGUGUUAUAAUGUUAUGUCGAACAUAUCCAAAGUGUGAGGAAUAAAUGUUAUGUGAUGUGUCGUUGAUAAGUUAGUAUCCCAUUAUAUUUUAUUAGAGUGUACACGAAGCCCUUGCGGGGGGAAGCGAUAUUCCAGAAUCAUUACAUUGGCAUAUAUAAAUUAAGUAAUAAGGUUUGUUGGAUAUGCAUUAAUUAAAGUGUAGUGUGACUAGUGUUUUGUAACGAUAACUGAUACAUUGUAUCUUCUGGUUUUGGAUGAAUUAACUUUAUAAAAAAUGUGAUAUUGUAUCUCCUGGUUUUAAGUGAAUUAACGUUAUUAAAUAUGUGAUAGUGUACUUCUAUAUCUUAUUAUUAAUUAGGUAGAUAUGAUAAUAUUAUAUUUGUAUUGUCAAUGUGGUUAGUCGUUUGAGUGAAUUAAUGUUAUUAAUUAUGCAAACAUUGUACUGUUAUCUUUUCAUUGUUGUUAUAUCUUUAAUGCGUUGUGAUUUUUAAUUGUUAAAUGGAGUACAUGAUUUAUUUAUAUUUUUGCUAUAACAACUAUAUAUGCAUGCAUAUUUGCUAUGUGUUUGUUAUUUUGAGAUGACCCUUAUAUUUGAUAGGACGUUAUAUAGUGCUAUGUGUUUGUUAUAUUUUCAUUGUUAUUAUACCUUUGGGUGCGUUUUGAUUUUUAACUAUUAAAUGAAGUACAUGAUUUAUUUAUAUUUUUGCUACAACAACUAUAUAUGCAUGCAUAUUUGCUAUGUGUUUGUUAUUCGGAGUUGACCCUUACAUUUGACAGACUUGUUGGGUUAGUUUACCAAAAGUCCAAAGUUUAUGACCAACUGGAUUUAUGUUUGGGUAGUAAAAUAUCAAUAGUUUUGGCUAUAGGAGUCUCUUUUGUUUAACAUAUUAAAUUUACAUUGUAAAUAUUUUGAUUCUUUAUUUUCGAAAAUAUAACUAAAAAUAUUAUUAAUUGAUUUUAAGAUAAAUGAGUAUUUAAAAUAAUUAUAAAUAAAUAAAAGCAAAUUUGUAUUUUUACGUAUAGAAUUCCGUUAGUUAAUGUCCCGAAAAAGCGGGAUGUUACAGUGUUGGUUAGCAUCCUUCUAAUCAGCUGUUGGGGAAUUCCUUGUGCCUUCAUUUUAUUGAAUGGAUUUUUCUUUGUCCGAAGAAGAACAAACCAUUGUGGAGUGUUUGCCGUUAUAAACAAUUAUUAAAAUAGAGUAAUAUUAAUGGAAAUGCACAAUUGCUCCUGCGAUCCCUUAACUUAAUUUUAGAUAACACUUUAAUUUUUUUUAAAUGGUCUUUUAUUUAAUAUUAUUACAAAAAUUCGAAAAUAUAAAGAAUGAAAAUAUGAGUUUAUUUAAAGAUUUAAGUUAUUUCAUCGACGUUGUUUCCAUAAACUAUGAUCUCAUCAACAUAUAUCACUAAGGCAGUAAAGGACGAGCAAAUGGAUUUAAUGAAUAAAGAAUGAUAUGAAUUAGAUUGAGUAUACUCUUUUGAAAUGAGAGUGGAGGAAAGUCUAGCAAACCAUUGCUUACUAGACUAUUUUAAACCAUAAAGAGGUUUUUGAAGUUUACAAACAAUAUUUGGAUUAUGAGCCAAUAACCCAAGGAACAAUUGCAUAUAGACUUCCUCUUCUAAAUUGCCAUGUAAAAAAGCAUUGUAAACGUCUAACUUAUGAAAAUGUCAAUUAUGAGAUGAUACAAGAGCAAGUAAGAGUCUUACGAUAAUGAGCUUAGCUAAAGUGAAUAAGUAUCAAAAUAAUCAAUUCCUUCAAUUUGGUUAAAACAUUUGGCAACAAGGCGUGCCUUAUAAUGUAUUAUAGAACCGUAAGCGUUAUAUUUUACCUUAUAAACCCAUCGACAACCUAAGGGCUUUUUAACACGUGGCAACUUAGUAAGAGUCCAAGUGUUGACUGAUCGAGGGUUGUUAGAUGAGAUUGCAUGGUCUGAACCUAAUUAUUAUAUGUGACAACUUGUUUAAAGCUAGUAGGGUCACGAACAACAGAAAUAAAGGAAAUAAAAUGAUAGAAAAAAAUAUGACAAUUUUGACUAAGAUAAGACCUGGUAUAAAUGAUACAAUAUAUUGGACUUAUGGCACCUAUCAUGUGCAAAAUUUCACUCAAAAUCUUGUAAGUAAGCAGGGACCUUGUUAGACCUUGAAGACCUACGAAUAGUAUCUUGAUGCUCAUCAAAAUCAAAGAUAGGGGAAGUAUGUAAAUUGUUAGGACUAGUAUCAAGACUAGAUGAAGGAGUUGGAGCAAAUAUAAUACUAUCAUCAGUGGAGUUAUUAACAUAAACAAUUAUUAGGCUAAAGCAUAUUAGUAUCAUCAAACAGAAUAAAGGAAUCACCAGAAUCAUCAUUAAUAUGCAAGGAAGUAGAAUUAAGAUUAACAUAUGGAAAAACAUGUUCAUAAAAAUCUACAUUCCUAGAAACAAAGGUGACAUGGGUAUGUAAAUCAAACAUCAAUUAACCUUUAGUUCCUUAUCUAAAUCCAAGGAAAAUACACUUGGGGGCCCUUUGAUAAAGUUUAGUUCUAUGAUAUAGCAAAGUGGAAGCAUAAGCAAGACAUCAAAAAACCUUUAAAUACAUAAAGUUAGGAGAUUGUUUAUAUAACAUUUCGAAAGGGGUCUUAUUAUGUAAAACAGGAGGUAGUUAACCUGUUAAUAAGAACAACAUGAUUAAUAGCAAAAGACAAAAAAUUCUUUGGUAGUUUAGAGUGGAAAAUAAGUGAUCUAGUCACAUUAAGAAGAUGAGGAUGUUUCCUUUCAACAAUUAAGUUUUAUUGGGGUGUCUCAACACAAGAGGUUUGAUGCAAUAUGCUCACACUAGAAUAAAAAAGAGGCAUAUUGAAUUCAAGACCAUUAUCAUUGCUAAUUUUCUAGACUUUUGUAUGGAAUUGUGUUCUAACAAAGGAAACAAAGUUUUGAAGGAGCAUACGAGUUUCAGAUUUAGCAUUCAUUAAAAAUAACCAAGAAAAUCAUGAAUAAUCGUCAACAAUAGUUGGAUAAUAUUGAUGACCCUCAAAAGAAGGAACAUUAAUAGGUCCUCAAAUAUCAACAUGUAUAAGGCUAAAAAUAUGUAAAGAAACAUUUUCACUACGGGGAAAAGGGAUUUUAGCAUUUUUUGCCCAAAUAAAAAGAGUCACAAAUUAUAUUUUUAUUAACUGAAAUGUAAGAAAAUCGUUUACACGUUUGUUGUAACAGGGUUAUUGAUGGAUGGACCUAACCUAAAAUGUAAAACAUCAAAUUUAUUUGGUAUAGUGGCAUUAACAAAGGUAGUAUAAUGGUCAUUAGAAACAAGAGCAAAAUCAGUAGAAAAAACCAUAGCAGAGGUAUAAUAUGAUCAAGAAUAUACAGGCUAUUACAAUGCUCCACAUGUCAAAUCGUCUUAUGGGUAUGCAAAUCCUGAAUUGUAUAAAAAUUCUUAGAAAAUAAUAGUUUGUAAUUCAAAUCAAGAGUGAGUUUUGAAAUAGAUAUUAAACUAAAAUUGAAUUGAUGAAUAAACAACCUAUUUUUCAAGUAAAGAUCAGAAGUAAAGUAAAAAUCUUCUAAAAAAUGCGCAAGAAUAAACGACCCAUUUGAAAAAAUAAUAAAAAUUGGUUCAAUUUGUUUCAUUGAAUAAAAACAUUUGAUAAAUGGACCAACAUGAUCUGAAGCCCCCGAAUCCAUAAUCCAUAGAGAAAAAGGAAUAGAUACGAAACUUGUAUUAGAAAUACUUGAUACUACGUGAUUGGAUUGAUCUGAAAUAGAAUUCUUGGUUUUGAAAGAAGUUACAUCAUCAUAUUUAGAAUUGUGUAGCAGAUUAAUCAUAAUAUUAUAAUAUGUUUUGCUAAGAUGAUUGUUGAUUGUUGGAAUCGUGUUGCUGUGUAGGCUAGGAGAGAGAAGGAUUCUUGGAACCAUUUAUUGAAGACGAAUUCAAAGAUUGUUUUUUAGGAUAAGUUAGUUGAAAGCCAUGUUUGAAAUAACAUAUGUCUACAAUGUGAUUAUUCUUAUGGCAUCGAGUAUAAAACAUGGAGGGCCGAGGCUGACCACGACGAUGAUGGUAUUGCCCGCGACCUUGACCUGAAUUUUUGGAAGUAUUGAUAUUAAAAACAACAUAAGUAUCAGGAGGAUUAUGGUUCGAAUUGGGGACCAGGUCUUAUUGAAAAACGAAAGAAUACACCUUGUUAAUAUAAGGUAAAGGAUCCAUGAAUAAAAUCUGUGUGUGAAUGUUAUUGUAAUUUUUAUUCAAACCUUUAAGAAAACAAGUGAUAUACUCUUGAUGCUUGAAAUAAUGAACUGUUGUGCUGAGCUUGCAAGAACGAGGAAUAGGGCAUAUGCAUGAUUGUGUUGGGCACAAAUCCUCCAAUUCACCCCAAAGAAUCUUCACAUUGGUGAAAUAGGUAGACAAAGAAUGUUCACCUUGUUUGAUUGAAUGAAGAUCACGAAUUAGAUUGGAAAAUCGAAAAUUAUUUCCUUGAAUGAAACGAUCACGAAGAUCAUACCAUAACUCUAAUGCUGAAUCAAUGCAAAUGGAGAACGUUAAAAACUCAAUAUUGAUUUUGGUUGUGAAAACGGAGAACAUCCUUGGUUCUGGAAACAUAAAAUGGAGAACAUUCUAGGUUAAUUAAAAUCAAUAGUUUAGUUUAUAUGUUUAACUUGAUAAACAAAAGGACUGAAAGUAAAUAGAGAUAAGAGGAUAGAUAUCACACAAUGAUAUAUCUUAGUUCACCUAACUCGGGCUAUGUUCAGUCCUUACAAUUGUGAUAUUUUCCACUAAGCAUUCCAAUGGAGAACGUUCUUAGUUUUACACAGUUUUGUUCAGAUUAACCUUGAUAUGUAACAACAAUUCAUUUUCACUUAGAAAGGAUUCAAUUAGGUCACUUAUCAAUCUUUAGAGAGGAUUUUACAAUUCACCUUUUAACCAUAAAAAUGAUUUUCUACAAACUAUAAACAACUAUUAUAGUCUUGAGUUUACACAAUAAUGAUUUAAAGAGAUUGGUAGAAUCUGACUAUGUUUAAAUCGUGUUUGAGAAUACAUUCUUGAUAAAAGAAAUCAAUAUAACGGUUCUGAUAUUUAAAGAAGAAAACAUAACUUAAUCUUUUGCUUAUGAUUGAGAAGCUUUCAAGUAUAUAAGUGUAUGUAAGUGAUGGAUUUCUUAACACUUGAAGUUCUAUUUUUCCUUGAACUUGAGGUUCUUUUUAUAGGCUUCAAGGAGGAUGAUGACAACUACUUUGACCUUUGGAAAAUAUCUAGCUGUCAUGUGUCAGAUUUGACAAAAUUCCAUAACUUUUAAACCAUGAAUGUUUCUUGACUAGCUUCUCAUUCUUGACCGUGAUUCAUGGUCUUUUAUGCUCAUAGACAUCUCAAAGAUGUGUUUAAUGUAUUAAGAUCGAGAAUGUCUUUGGUUCGAUCAAAACAAGCUAGAGAAGGAUGUACACAUGUUGGAGAUUGAUUGUUAAUAUGCUGGAUAAUGAUGUUAUUUGUAACAUCCCGCGGUUUCGAGACAUUAACUAACAAAAUUCUAAACGUAAAAAUACAAAUUCGUUUUUAUUUAUUUAUGAUUAUCUUAAAUACUCAUUUACCUUAAUAUCAAUUAAUAAUAUUUUUAGUUAUAUUUUCAAAAAUAAUGAAUCAAAGUAUUUACAAUCACUAAAAGUAAAUUUAAUACAUUAAACAAAAGAAACUCAUAGAGGCAAAACUAUUGAUGUUUUACUACCCAAGCAUAAAUCCUAGUUGGUAAUAAACUUUGGAGUUGUGGAAAACUCACCCAAUAAAUCUAACACACCACACAUCUAUAUAUGAAUGAACGCAUGUGGACACUUUAAUAAAUCAUUAAUAUAAUGCAAGGUUAACUUAUUAACGGACAUAACAUUUAUUCUUCACACUUUGAAUAUGUUCAACACACCCAUUAUAACAACAUAUCACAUAACAUUAUUUUUCACACUUUGAAUAUGUUCAACAUAACCAUUAUAAUAACAUAUCACACCAUAUUUAUUUUCUACAAUUUGAUAAAAAAAAACAUUUCAACAUAGUAUAUAUUUAAUCUAACAAAUUUAUGAAUAAACACAAUCAUACAUAAAUAUAAUUGGAGUGAUGGCCUUACCGAUUUGAGUGUCGUUGCUCCAAAUGUGCUACAUUUGAGCUAUGAAUCACUAACUCAUUUAGUUCUUGUAUUUCUUCCUUUACCUCUCUUAAACCAGCAUUUUUGAAUGGAAGACGUCAUUGUUGUUUAGUUCCUUAUUAUCGUUAGAAGUGGGGAACUUGGUAUUAAAUGGGGAGCGUGGUAUUCCAGCAUAAGCCAUCAAAUUUAUUUUUAAUUAAUGGUUCCCUUUUAUUAUUAUUAUUAUUAUUAUUAUUAUUAUUAUUAUUAUUAUUAUUAUUAUUAUUGUUAUUAUUAUUAUUGUUAUUAUUAUUAUUAAUAUUAAUAUUAUUACCAAAAAUCAAAAUAACACAAUACAAUAGUAAUUAUCACCAACAAAUUCCUAGAAUAAUUAUCUCAAAUUCUAAUAAGGUAAAAUAUAAAAAUUAAAUAAAAUGUCUAGAUGUUAUAUGUUAGAGAGUCAAACAUUUGUGAUAACUUUCCACGAAUAUAUCAAACGUGUCAUGUAACACCCCAAAUUUUAUAAUAAACUAUUUUAUUAAUUAAAUAAGAUUUUAAAUAAUUAAUUUGACGUUAAACUUAUUUUAUAAUAUAUGUUGAUUUUCGUGCUAGUUUUGAGAUAAUUUCUACGAUGUGCUAGUUUUAUAAAUAUUAUAUUAAAUGAGCGAUAUAAAUAAUAAAUAUUAUAUUUUAUUAUUUGAUUUUUUUUUAAAAUAAUAGUAUUUUAGUGUAAUAUUUUAAAGAAAAAGAUUUUAUGCGAUUUUAUGUGUAUAUACCUGUACUCAAUUAAUGUAAUAUUUUUCUGUGCGCUUGAAUGAUGUUAAGUACGCACGUAGUUAUAUUUUAAUUAUUUAUAACUAUUUUCUAUUUUUAGUUAUUUAUUUUAUAAAUAAUUAUCUUGAGAUAGUAGUAAAUUGUAUUUAAUCUUGAUUUUUAUAUACUUGUUAUGGCAUUAUGAUUUUAUAUUUAUUUAUUUUAUAAUUUUAAAUAUUUUCUAACGUAGUAAUUUAAUGUAAGUAUUUGAAAAAAUAAGUAUAAUUAUAGUGAUUAAUUUGAAUAUGAGAGUUUUGGUUAUGAAUAUAUUUUAAAAUAAUAAUUAUUUUAUUUUAUAAAUUAUUAGUUUUGAAAUAUUAAUAAUAUUUUACUAAUAAAAUUAUGUUUUAUAAAUUCAUACACACUAUGUUUUUUAUUAUACCAUAGAACUUGUCAUAAAUUUUUUAAUUUUCAUUGCCUCUAAUAAAAUUUAGAAAAAUUCUAUUGAACAUUCAUUAAUCUGACAUCUACUAAUACAUUUGAUAGUUAAUUCUAUUGAACAUUUAUUUAUUAAUCUGACAUCUACUAAUACAUUUGAUAGUUAAGUUAAUAGUUAAAUAAUUUUUUUUUGAAUCAAAACUAUUUUUAUUAUUUAGCAAAUCAUAAUCACUAAAAGUUAUUUAUCAAAAUUGUCGGCAAAAUAAAAAUUAAUUUUUUUCAUUGAAUUUUUAUAACUCAUAAUAAUGAGUAUUUAAUAUUUUUUACAAUAUAAUGUAAAAACUUAAUUUAAUGCUUAUAAUAAUGAACUAAUUGUUUUUCUUAUAAAAUAAUUUUUCCUAAAAUAUAAAAGUGAAUAAAUAGCUCUUUGAUUAAUAAAAAUGAUCGUUAAUUAUUAAUUUAAAGAACAAAUAUUUUGUGUGUGGUGUAUUAUAAAAGUUAUAUCAAUUUUGAUAAUGUUAAAUUGUAAACACAUAUUACAUAAUCAUUUAGAAAAUAAUACAAACUACAUAUAAAAUUAUAAUGAAAAUGUAUACAAAGAAAAAAUGAUAUAUAACUCACCCUUUUCGGUAUUAGAGGAAGUCUCCAUUAAGUCCCUAGCUGAGACCUCAAAGGAGAUCAUAAGAACCAUAGCCAAAAGGCCAAGGAUGAGGGUUGUUUUUUUUCAAAUCCAUUGUUCAAUAUUUGGUAGUCAAAUUAAGAUGAGAAAAAUGGUAAGAAAGUGUAGUCUAUAUAUAGUGGAGGGAGAGGUUGAGAAAAAUUGUUUAAUAUGUGUCAAAUAUUGAGUAAAUAUAAUGUGUGAAAUCAUCAAAAAUGAUAUUUAUAUGGACAGAAAGAAUAUUAACCAACAAAUUUUAUCUCCCCAAUUGAUUUUUUUUAUCAAAAAAAAAAAAUUAUAAUAUUAGAUUUAUUAAUAGUGUAUAUUUUUCCAUGUUUACAUUUCGAUAAUUUAUAUUUUUUAUGAUUGUAUUUAUUUUUGGUAAAAAAAAAUGUAAUAUAUAUCUAAUAUUGAAAAUUUGAAAGAAUUCUGUUACGAAAAUAAAUUGUAUAGAAAAUCCAUCCUUCUAUAUCUAGAGUUAUUUUUGGACUUUUUCUAUAAUUAGGGAUGAAGCCAUAAGUACUAAGUAGUAGUUGUCACUGCCCCUAAUUGAGAUUGAAGCAUUAAAUGUGAUAACAUAGUUGUGAGAAGAAAUCAAAAUACUGGGCAGGUGGAAAUAAACGGUCUGUAGGUUACUUUUUUUUUAUCCCACAAUGAAUGUUACUUUCUCAUUCCACAUAUUAGACAUAUUAAGAAAUGACAAUUAAUAAAUGGAAGAGAAUAGUAAAUUAAUUUACAAAAUUAUCUAUGCGGACAAUUGGUAUGUUUCUCACUAUCACUAUUAUAAAUGUAAAAUGAAAUGUGUAUUUUGGAAAUAGUGUACAUGCAUAUAGUAUUGAUUAGAAGAUAAAAUUAAAAAAAAUAAUUAAUCUUACAUUGAAAACUGAUAAAUAAUAUUUAUUUUAUAAUGAAUUUUAUUUGUUAAAGUGAUACUGAGAGAGUAAUUUAUUCUACAUUCUAUAUAUGGUAAAAAGUAUUGUUUUCUCUAUUUCAUUAAUACAUUUAUUUUAUAAUAUGUAAAAUGAUCAAAAAGGUCAUCACUCAUUGUGGAAUGAAGUGAUUAAUUUUAUAAAAAUGUCAUAGAUAAAUUAUUAGGGGUGCAACAAGACAAUCAAUAUCACCAAAUGAAUGUGUUAUUAUUUUAAUUUUCAAUAAAAAAUUAAUUGUUGUUUUUUAAGUUUAUUUUUAAAUUAAUAUAAUAUACCUUAUUCUUAAGUUACAAUGAGAAAAUAAUGUUACAAUGAGAAAAUAAUAUCUAAUGGUUGGGUGAUGAGUACUAAAUGACAUAAACUAAUUUUCUUGCCUAAAACAAACAUGACAAUUUUAGUGAUAAAAAUUAAUGUAGCGAGUUGAACAAAAUAAUAUGACAUGAAACAUGAUAAUAAAAAGGCAAGUUUAAGUGAAAGAUGGUUCAUCAUAUAACAAAAGACAGGGGCGGAGCUUCCUUGGGACUAAGGGGGGCCGCGCCACCCCAAAAAAAAAAAAUUAUAAGUACAAUGACUAAAAUGUCCAUUUUAAAAUUAAAAAAUUACAAAACAUACCUAAACCUAAUUCAGUUUUCUGUUUAUUUCUCUCUCUUCCAUCCAGCCUUCCUCUCUCCCUCUCUCUCUUUUGCUUACAAGUUCCAGCCUUCCUCUCUCCCUCCUCCAUAAUCAGAUUCAUGAAUCAAGACAAACGUGCGGUCGUCUCUCUACGACAAUCGCUCGUCUGCUCGCUCACGAAAUCGCUCGCUGCGGCCAAUCGUUCGUCUGCCUGACUGCCUCUGUCCGUGGCCAUUCGUCGCUGCCUCUCUACUCGCCGCAACCUCAUCAGUCAUCUGUCUCUAGAUCUUGUUGCUGCUUUGUUCAAAAUGUUCGAAUUUCUAUUUUGUUAUUGCUGAUUUUUGUUAGUUAGUGUCGAUUUUUGUUAGGUUUGAUAUUUUUUAGCAUAAAAUUUAAAACUUAUAUUGUUAUUGUUGAGUUUAGAGUUUUGAUUUGGAGUUUGAAAUUUUGAUUUGGAGUUUUAAUUAGCAGAUUUUUGUUUAGAGUUUUUGUGUUGCACAUAAGGUGUUUGAAUUUAUGUCAGUAUAAAGUGUUUGAGUUUUUUUUUGUCUCACAUAAGGUGUUUGAUUUUAUGUGUUUGAUUUUUUUUUUUGCAUACAAAGUGUUUGAGUUUUGUUGCAUUUUUGUUUGAGUUUUUUUGUCUAUAUAAAGUGUUUUAUUUAUUUUUUUUGAAUAUAAGAUGUUUUAUGUUUAUUAAAUUGAUUGAUUUAGAUAAGUUUGUGAGAAUGAAGAAGAGUAGAAGAAUUGAUUAUUUUUUCAUGAGGAAAAUUUGUGAGAGUGAAUUAUGUCAGCCACUCCAAAUUUUUCAGUCAAGUUCCGCCAUUGACAAUAGAUCAUACUUUAUUUAAUAUAGUAAGUGGGAAACAAAAUAAUUCAUAGAUGCAUGUUUCUAGUUUUCAUGGAGAUUCCAUGUUUCAAUGUCCUCUUUUCCUAGGUUUAUUACCAUUUUCUCCUUCACCUUUGUCUCCGUUAUCGUGGUUUCCUCCAUUGUCGUCUUCUUCAACGGGUGGCUCACUAUCGUGGUAUCCCAUGCCACCAAAGUUGUAUAUCAUGCUCUGUACCCAUUCUGAUGCCCAACCCAAUGCCAAAUCUCUCAAAGUUCUCCAAUCUACAAACCUUCUUAUUAAAGUACUAUAUUCGGAUUGCUCAGCUGCCACAAUAGUCAUAAGAAGGGGAACACAUAGAAAGAAUACUAAGAUAAAAAAUUUUGUUUUCAUCCCUUGCUUAAAUUUCUUAAAGUUUCUUGUAAAAUAUGAAUAAUAUCCUCAAAUAUUUAUAGUGAUCACGCAUAGAAAAAAUAAGAUAAUUUUAAAAGACAAAAACAUAUUGAAGAAAAUUAUAUUGCGUACUAAAAAAAAAGACAAUAUGUAUUCUAUGGCCAAUUGCGAAGACAAUGGGUCAUCAAGAUCCAUAGAGCCAUGGAAAAGUUAAAUAAAUUAGAACAUGUUUGCCUUUUGGAUCAUGAUAAUUUGACGAUCAAAGAGACGUUUUAUCCAAUUAAUCUUUUCUAAAAAGUUGCUUUUGGUAAAAUUGUUUCAGAAAAUAGAAUUUAAAACUAGGGAGUUGUAAAAUUUGACUUCCUAAUAAAUUUAGGAUUAAAGUGAUGUAAUGUCCAAUUAAUUCUAAAUGAAUGAUUUAUUUUGACUAUUAAAUGUUUUAAUAUUGGAAUAUUAAAUUUUUAGUAUCUAAAAAAUUUUGAAAUUUUAAUUUUAGUACUUAUUAAAAAAAAUUAUAUUUUUUAGUUUCUACAAAAUUGUUAUGUAAACAGUUUAAUUUAUACCAUAUUGGAACAUCAAUAUAAAUAUUUAAAUACUUUUUUUUUUGCAUACAUGCUGACAUUAUAAAAAGUUCAACAUAAAAAAUGAUAUCAAAAUUCAAUUUCUAGAUCUAUAUUUUAAAGACUUUUAUCUUAAAUAGACGACGUUUAAUUAAUUCAUCCCAAAUUAAAAAAAAAUUAUAUGAAUUAAUUUUUAAUAAUAUUCUAAACAUGCUUACAAUAUUAUUCAAAUAUUUAAAAGUUGAAGAAUAUUUUAUUUCAUCAGAGACUAAAAUAAUUUGAUUAAUAAUUUUAUAGGAAUUAAAAAAAAUGUAUGCAUACAUAAAAAAAUAAAAAAUUAUCAUCUUGGUUCUAAGAACACAACUAAAACAAAUCAAACGAUAACUUCUCGUUUUGAUUAUGAGUUAUAUUUGGUAUUUGUAAUAUUUUAUUUUAUUUUUACAUCUUACCUUAUUAUGAGUUGAUAUAAUUAUUCUGUAAAUUAUUGGUGAUAAUUAUUAUUGUAAUGUGUUAUUUUAAUUUUUAAUAAUAAUAAUAAUAAUAAUAAUAAUAAUAAUAAAAAAGGGAAUCGUUAAAAACAAAUUUCAGACGCUGGAAAUACACGUUUCCCAUUUAAUAUCACGUUUUCUAUUUAAUACCAUCCCUUUAAUACACGUCCCCAUAUAAUAACACACGUUACCCACUUCUAAUGAUAAAAAAGGAAUAAAACAAAACAUAAAAAGAAAUAAAACAAAAACGGGUUUCAGGGAGAAAAAGAAAGAAAUUCAAGAACUAAAUGAGUUACUGAUUCAUCCCUCAAGUAUAACACAUUUGAAGCAAAGACCACUGCGUGAAAAUUUUAAUUACGACACUCAUAUUGAUAAGGGGCAUGACUCCAUCCGCUUUUCUAAUUGAAUUAUUGUUUGUGUGUUAUAUUCGAAAUGAAUAUUAAUAAUUGUUGUGUUUGACAUGUUCAAAAUGUGGAAAAUAAAUGUUAUGUGAUAUGUUGUUAUAAUGGUUGUGUUGAGCAUAUUCAUAGUGUGAAGAAUAAAUGUUAUGUGAUAUGUUGUUAUAAUGGUUGUGUUGAACAUAUUUAAAGUGUGGAAAAUAAAUGUUAUGUGAUAUGGUGUUAUAAUGUUGUGUUAAACAUAUUCAAAGUGUGAAGAAUAAAUGUUAUGUGAUGUGUCGUUGAUAAGUUAGUAUCGCAUUAUAUUUUAUUAGAGUGUACACGAAGCCCUUGCGGGGGAAGCGAUAUUUCGGAAUCAUUAUAUAGAUUAAGUAAUAAGGUUUGUUGGAUAUGCAUUAAUUAAACUGUAGUGUGACUAGUGUUUUGUAAAGAUAACUGAUACAUUGUAUCUCCUGGUUUUUGUGAAUUAAAGUUAUAAAAAAUGUGAUAUUGUAUCUCCUGGUUUUGAGUGAAUUAACGUUAUUAAAUAUGUGAUAGUGUACUUCUAUAUCUUAUUAUUAAUUAGGUAGAUAUGGUAAUGUUAUAUUUGUAUUGUCAAUGUGGUUAGUCGUUUGAGUGAAUUAAUGUUAUUAAUUAUGCAAACAUUGUACUGUUAUCUUUUCAUUGUUAUUAUAUCUUUAAUGCGUUGUGAUUUUUAAUUGUUAAAUGGAGUACAUGAUUUACUUAUAUUUUUGCUAUAACAACUAUAUAUGCAUGCAUAUUUGCUAUGUGUUUGUUAUUUUGAGAUGACCCUUAUAUUUGACAGGACGUUACAUAUAGUGCUAUGUGUUUGUUAUAUUUUCAUUGUUAUUAUACCUAUUGGUGCGUUUUGAUUUUUAACUGUUAAAUGAAGUACAUGAUUUAUUUAUAUUUUUGCUAUGAUAUCUCUAUAUGCAUGCAUAUUUGCUAUGUGUUUGUUAUUUGGAGUUGACCCUUACAUUUGACAGACUUGUUGGGUUAGCUUACCAAAAGUCCGAAGUUUAUGACCAACUGAAUUUAUGCUUGGGUAGUAAAAUAUCAACAGUUUUGGCUAUAGGAGUCUCUUUUGUUUAAUAUAUUAAAUUUAAAUUGUAAAUAUUUUGAUUCUUUAUUUUUGAAAAUAUAACUAAAAAUAUUAUUAAAUGAUUUUAAGAUAAAUGAGUAUUUAAAAUAAUUACAAAUGAAUAAAAGCAAAUUUGUAUUUUUACGUAUAGAAUUUUGUUAGUUAAUGUCCCGAAAAAGCAGGAUGUUAGUCUUGGUUAGCAUCCUUCUAAUCUGCUGUUGGGGAAUUCCUUGUGCCUUCAUUUUAUUGAAUGGAUUUUUCUUUGUCCGAAGAAGAACAAACCAUUGUUGAGUGUUUGCCGUUAUAACCAAUUAUUAAAAUAGAGUAAUAUUAAUGGAAAUGCACAAUUGCUCCUGCGAUCCCUUAACUUAAUUUUAGAUAACACUUUAAUUUUUUUUAAUUGGUCUUUUAUUUAAUAUUAUUACAAAAAUUCGAAAAUAUAAAGAAUGAAAAUAUGAGUUUAUUUAAAGAUUUAAGAUAUUUCAUCGACGUUGUUUCCAUAAAUUAUGAUCUCAUCAACAUAUAUCACUAAGGCAGUAAAGGACGAGCAAAUGGAUUUAAUGAAUAAAGAAUGAUAUGAAUUAGAUUGAGUAUACUCUUUUGAAAUGAGAGUGGAGGAAAGUCUAGCAAACCAUUGCUUACUAGACUAUUUUAAACCAUAAAGAGGUUUUUGAAGUUUACAAACAAUAUUUGGAUUAUGAGCCAAUAACCCAAGUAACAAUUGCAUAUAGACUUCCUCUUCUAAAUUGCCAUGUAAAAAAGCAUUGUAAACGUCUAACUUAUGAAAAUGUCAAUUAUGAGAUGAUACAAGAGCAAGUAAGAGUCUUACGAUAAUGAGCUUAGCUAAAGUGAAUAAGUAUCAAAAUAAUCAAUUCCUUCAAUUUGGUUAAAACAUUUGGCAACAAGGCGUGCCUUAUAAUGUAUUAUAGAACCAUCAGCGUUAUAUUUUACCUUAUAAACCCAUCGACAACCUAAGGGCUUUUUAACACGUGGCAACUUAGUAAGAGUCCAAGUGUUGACUGAUAGAUUGCAUGGUCUGAACCUAAUUAUUAUAUGUGACAACUUGUUUAAAGCUAGUAGGGUCACGAACAACAGAAAUAAAGGAAAUAAAAUGAUAGAAAAAUUAUGACAAUUUUGACUAAGAUAAGACCUGGUAUAAACGAACAACAGAAAUAAAGGAAAUAAAAUGAUAGAAAAAAUAUGACAAUUUUGACUAAGAUAAGACCUGGUAUAAAUGAUACAAUAUAUUGGACUUAUGGCACCUAUCAUGUGCAAAAUUUCACUCAAAAUCUUGUAAGUAAGCAGGGACCUUGUUAGACCUUGAAGACCUACGAAUAGUAUCUUGAUGCUCAUCAAAAUCAAAGAUAGGGGAAGUAUGUAAAUUGUUGGGACUAGUAUCAAGACUAGAUGAAGGAGUUGGAGCAAAUAUAAUACUAUCAUCAGUGGAGUUAUUAACAUAAACAAUUAUUAGGCAAAAGCAUAUUAGUAUCAUCAAACAGAAUAAAGGAAUCGUGAGAAUCAUCAUUAAUAUGCAAGGAAGUAGAAUUAAGAUUAACAUAUGGAAAAACAUAUUCAUAAAAAUCUACAUUCCUAGAAACAAAGGUGACAUGGGUAUGUAAAUCAAACAUCAAAUAACUUUUAGUUCCUUAUCUAAAUCCAAGGAAAAUACACUUGGUGGCCCUUGGAUAAAGUUUAGUGCUAUAAUCACUACGCGAAAAAACGCAUUUUACAGCGCUUUUUUUAAGCCAUUUACAGCGCUUUUUCAAAAAAAUAAGCGCUGUGGAAACGAGCGCUGUAAAUGAUACAACAACGCUUUUAAAAAAGCGCUAUAAAACAUGUAAAUACAACGCGCGCUUGUUAUGCACAUUUUACAGUGCUUCUUCACAAAAAGCGCUGUAAUAUGCACCCCAUUAUAUGAGUUAUGGGUGUUCAUUUUACAGCAAAGCGCUCUAAAAUGCACACCCAUAACUCAUAUAAUGGGGGGCAUAUUACAGCGCUUUCUCAAACAAGCGUUGUAAUAUGCCCAACCAUAAUUUCAUAUAUGGGUGGGCAUAUUACAGCGCUUUUUUGAGAAAGCGCUGUAAAAUGCCCACCCAUAAUUUCAUAUAUGGGUGUGCAUAUUACAGCGCUUUCUCAAAAAAGCGCUGUAAAAUGCCCACCCAUAAUUUCAUAUUAUGGGUCUGCAUUUUACAGCGCUUUUCUUGUACAUUUUACAGCGCUUUCUCACGAAAGCGCUGUAAAAGGUGCACCAUUAAAGCGCUUUAGAACAACAUUUUACAGUGCUUUGUAAAAAAAGCGCUGUAAAAUGUGUGUUUUUUUUUUUUAAACGUUGUAAAUUAAUUAUUUGAAACGAAAAACGCUUUUUAGCUUUUUAUGGCAUUUUUUUUAAAAAGCGCUGUCUUUUAUCUUUGUAUCCAAAAUUAUUUUGAUCCAAAAUCACUUCACAAUCAGUGCACACAACAACAAAACAUAUUCAAAUACCAUAAGCAGUUCACACAAUCAGUAGAACAGAAAUCAGAACUCUGUAACUUUAUUAAUAUAUAUGUAACUCUGUAACUCUGUAAUUUACAACCUAAUUAACUACAUUCAGAUACGUAUAUAUAUAUAACCUAAUUUACAACCUAAACUACAUUCAGAUCCAUAUGCAUGUUCAUAUAUUGUGUCCUAUGAUCAUUUACAUAUAAUAACUAACAGAAUAUACAUUAUAUGCACUAGCUACCAUAUAAUAUUCAGAUCCCUUGCCCAGCAGCAAGCUAUUUCCCAGAAAAUCAAAUAAUUUUCAUGUCAAGCACGUACUGACACCAUUCUUCCUUUAAUUCCAUCAGAUCUUCCUCAGAAUAUGAUGGACUGGAAUUGGCAAAGUACUGCAAUAUAAAAAUUGAACAUAUUAUAUUAAGUUAGUAUCAAAUAUAUAGAUAAUUUAUAUAUGAAAAUCAUAUAAUGCAAAUACCGUACCGUUUCUGGGAUAAUAGUUUUAUUCUUCUCAACAAUCUCCUUCAUGAAUCUCAAUACGUAGUACCCACAGUCGAUGUUAUUUGUUUGACGAGGGCACUUUAUUGAGAUCCAUGUAAUGUUAUUAGACUUCUGCUUCGACACUUUAGCACCUCUUUGAGCUCGAUAAACUUUUAAGGCACUAUCGAAUGAAUAAAUGUGAUUAUUAGAGCAUGAAUAUUUAAAUAUAUAUAUAUGUAAGAAAUAAAUGAAUAUUACUUACGUGUCGAGCAUAUUCUUUAUUCCGGGGUGAUUGGUGUAAUCGCCGUGCACGGGAUCCAAAUAGUAUAUCACUUCAGAGACCGCAUUGAUUGCAAAUAGCACCCAAUGUGCCCUACAACAACAAAAAAUUGGUUAAGCAAUUUUGUUUAUAGACAACUAAUAAAUUAAAUUCUCAUCAAUUAAAAAAGAUAAAAUUACGUACCCUGAAUUAUAUGGUGCCAAGAACAAUUUAUCACUUUCUUUAUUUCUUAAAAACAUAUCUACAAUGUAGUGUUUUACAUUGUCUGGAUCGAGUUUGAACAUCGACAUCUUAUGCGGAGACAAGAAUGAGUAUUUAUUUGACAGUUUCCUCGUGCACACGACCUUCUCGUACAAAAACCUUCAAUGAAAAUUUUAAACUAGAUUAAUUACCAAUACAUUUAAUUAAUUACAAAUAAAUGCAAUUAAAAGUAUUUUUUACCUUAUGUACAAGCUGAUUACAGUAACACUCAGCUCCUUAUGUUCGAGAAGAUCGUACAUUUGCUCCUUUUCGAGGUAUUCAAUAUACUCAUCUCCAAAGAUGUCUUGAUUCAUUUGUACAAUGGGCGAAUCGUUGCUGCUGCCCAUGUUCCUUUUUAUUUGGAUGUCAAGACACGCCCCGUAUUUACCAAGGCGUGGCUGACUUUUAUUAGGAGCAGCAGCAGCAGCGACCGAUUUUCCCCGAUCCAGAUUUUUUGUUGCUGCAAGUUUUGCAGCUUUAUUACCCUCCAGCCUUUGUAGUUUGGCAGCCCUAUUAACCUCCAAUUUUUGAGGUCUGCUGCCUUUUUUUGGCUGUAGGGGUGGUUUAUUUAUUUGGACCUACAAAAAUGAGGUAAAAUGUUAGUUUAUUGAAUCUGAAAAAAUAAAAAACCUUAGGCAAUAAAUGUGACAAACCUUUUCGGGAGAUGUAACUGAUUUGUCCUUGGGAAUCUUUUUUUCGAGGGCAACAAGGUGUGUGGGCCAUGCCACGUAACUGCCAAUAGCGUCGCUUAAGAACUUCAUAUCUCCAUCGUUGUCCGGUAUGGGCAACGGUGCAGUUGGUUCGAAAGCAACCGUAGGCGAUACUUUGACAUGGCCCGCGGGGAUCGGAAUAUUGUGCAAUACUUCUCCCGAAGUAUUGUGCAAUAUUCCUUUUCCCACCUUCCGUUGAGUCGGCGAGGACAAGUAUAGGACACAUGUAGUGACACCCUACAUCAAUAGUUAAAACAUAAGUACAGUUAAUAUAUAAGUUUGUUUAAUACAUAAGUAAUUACAUAAGCAAGUAAGUAGUAAGUAAUUAAUUACCUCGGGAAUACUCUUCAAACCGACGUUGCAACUCCCGGUUUCACUCUCCAUUUGUAUUUCAGGUUGGAGCUGAACCGGAAGUUGCUUGUCUUUAUUCGUAUUCACCAAGAGUGCCACUUGCUCCGAUAAGAUUCUGAGCUUCUCUAAUACUUCCUCGUUGGAAGGUUUUUGGCGCUUCUCUUGAGGAAAAAAGCUUUUGGGAGUUACGCCAAAUCCUUUCCCCCUCACUCGACCGGAAUACUCAGGGACAUUAAACACUUUCCCAAGAAUGUCCCUGCACGUAUCCUUGUUGCCCUCUUGAGUUUCAGAACUUUGUUCAAUAGUUUCCUAAAAUACAUGUAACAUUAAAAAGAUAAGUUCAAUAGCAUUUUUAAAAUACAAUAUUAAAAAAUAUUAAAGUGAUAAUAUACUUACACAAAGUUCUACAACUUUCUUGACAUUUUCAUUAUCAACCACUCCUUCUUUGUUAACACGCGCUUCCUUCCAUAAGAUAUGACGACCCAAGGGUUGAUCGGCUUGGGUGUCUUUUCUCUAUUCGUUAAAAUCAUAAACAAAAUAAUACAAAUUAGUUACACACUAUAGUUUAUAAUACAAAUUACAAGUGAUGUUUAAUUACUUACAAUUUUUUGUUCAAGGCGUGCAUAUCCCAUACGUGAUUUCUUGUAUGGGUGUUUUGGGUUGCUUGCCCGUUCGCGAUUUGCCGUACUAAUAUUCUAUAUAAAAAAAAAAUUGCAAUUGUGUAAAAAUUUAAAAUACGCUACGAAUAUGAAUAAUAAAACACAAAUGCUAAUAAAUUAAUAACUUACGACAAACGCCGGGUCAGAACGUUUGGAAACAAAUGCACUCCAUUCAUCCUUUGAUAUAUAAUGUUGAUAUAUCUUUGGAGGUUCAGCAUUUGUGUUUCCUUCUCUAUCUUUUAGAUAGAAAUUUGAGAGAUGGGAUCUAAAUCCACGAUGGAUUUUCCCAGCAACUCUCAAAACAUAUGACUUUCGUUCCUCAUCAAGAACAAAAGUGGUCUGCAAUGAAAACAAUUAUAAGUAAUGUAUUUUACAGAAAAAAAAUUAUAAAUGACAAAAGAGUAGAUCAAAAUAUUUACUUGAAUGUCAUUCCAGAUGAUAUCUUUGGCAUCCUUCAACGCCUUAUCUCUCCAGUUGUCUAUUGUUAUUGGGACAUUUUGACGAACAACAGCCCCAAUGUAGCUUACAAACAUGGAGCUGUUGGGGUCAACUGGCUGACCACUCUCGUUCCAGCCAACCUAAUAAACUCAUAUAGUAAGUACAUGCCCUAAACCCUAAAAAAAGAUAAAAAAACACACAGCAAACAGAGUAUAUAUAGUAUACCUCAAAUUUAAUGCCACUGCUCCGUGCUUUAAUCACCCUUUGCAUGAUAGUUGCACCACGUUUGACUUCUUUUUCGUAAGUCUUAGAGGUGCCAACUUCUUCAUUUUGAACUUCUAAAUCUUUGUUUGUAUCCAUUUAACUACAACAAGUUCAACAUGCACUUUAGUAUAACAUCAACAAGCUCAACAUGGAUCAUGCAUUAUUAUAAACAAACUCAACAUGUAUCAGUAUAUCUUAAAAAAGCUCAACAUGCAUUUUAAUGAUUACAAAAAAUUUAUAACAUCAAUACCUGAAUAAUGGUUCGAAGAAAGAUGAAAUCUAAAGAAAAGAGGGAACGCAGAAAGUUCACAGAAAUAUGGUUCAAAGAAAUAGGAUAUUGAAGAAAUACGUAAUGAGGGUUACGUAUUUCAAUGAAAAUAUAUUGUGUGAAAUGGGAGAGAUGAUCUUGGAUGGAAAUAAGGUUCGAAAUGAAGGAGAUGAUCGUGGAAAUAAGGUUCGUAAAGGACGGGAUGAUAGGGUUUGCAAAAGAAGAGAAGAAAUGAAGGUUGAGAUGACAAUACCUGAAUAAUGAUGGUUCGAAGAAAGACGAAAUGCAAAGAAAAGAGGGUUUGCAGAAAGUUCACAGAAAUAUGGUUCAAAGAAAAGAGGGAACGGUAUUGAAGAAAUACGUAAUGAGGGUUACGUAUUUCAAUGAAAAUAUAUUGUGUGAAAUGGGAGAGAUGAUCUUGGAUGGAAAUAAGGUUCGAAACGAAGGAGAUGAUCGUGGAAAUAAGGUUCGUAAUGGACGGGAUGAUAGGGUUUGCAAAAGAAGAGAAGAAAUGAAGGUUGAGAUGAUAGUGAAAGACCUCCUUGUGUUAUUAUGUUAUUUGAAUACCUUUUACAGCGCUUUUACACAUAAGCGCUCUAAAAUGUCUCUUUAUCUUAAUUUUAAGAGGCUCUUUUACAGCGCUUUUCCCAAAUAAGCGCUGUAAAAGAACUCCGUGUGUUAUUAUGUUAUAUGAAUGUUUUUUAAAGCCUUUUACAGCGCUUUUCCACAUAAGCGCUCUAAAAUGUCUCUUUAUGUUAAUUUUAAAAGGCUCUUUUACAGCGCUUUUUCCAAAUAAGCGCUGUAAAAGGCCUUAUUGUUUUUGUGUUUUGUUAUGUUAUGUUAUUUUUUAAACAAGCUCAACAUGCAUGCAAAACCCACAUAGUAGUAACUGGUCACCACAAAAAUCCCUUCCUCUUCACCAAACUCUUCUCCUUUUAUGCAUCUUCUUCACAAACAUCAAAGCUUACUCUUUCACAAUUCAAUCUCCACCUCAACACCCUUUUUAUCUCUUUACAUUCUCUUUCCUUCUUAAAUCGAAACUUAAUUGGUAUUCAGGAUCAUUGCCAUGUUGCGAAAAAUGGGUUUGUGUCUGGUGUUUUUGGGGAUUCCCAUGAUGCGUACAAGGUGUUUGAAGAAAUGGGUUUGUGUCUGAUGUUUUUUGGAUUCCCAUGAUGCGUACAAGGUGUUUGAAGAAAUGGGUUUGUGUCUGAUGUUUUUUGAAUCCCAUGAUGCGUACAAGGUGUUUGAAGAAAUUAGGUGUCUGAUGAAUAUUAUUUUUAAAGCCAUUUUACAGCGCUUUGGCAAACAAGCGCUGUAAAAUGUCUUUUUUACUCACUUUCAAAAGAGUCGUUUACAGCGCUUUGUGUGAAAAGCGCUGUAAAAGGUAUAAAACACUCAUUAUUUUAUUUUUAAAAGGAUCUUUUACAGCGCUUUUUAAGAUAAGCGCUGUAAAAUGUCUCUUUAUUUUAUUUUUGUGUUUGGUUUAUUUGGGUUGGGAUGACAUUAAAAACAUUUUUAUCAUUGUUUAUUGGAUUAAAAAUAUUGUUAUCAUUGUCUUUAUCACAAUACUUUAGGAGAUGAUGAAUUAUUAGAAAUGAGUAUUCUGAAGAAUCUAUAUAUAUAUAUGCACUGAGCAAAAGAGAAUCUCUCUAUUCAGUUCAGUUCAGUUCAUGUAAAUUACUAAUUUAUAUUCAGUUCAGUUCAUGUAAAUCAAGCUAAAUAUAAAACACUCAUUGUUACAUGAACUUGGUAUAAAACACUCAAAUCAAGCUAAAUAUAAGCAGAAAAUAAAUUAAUCAGAAAAUAAAUUAAUCAGAACUUAGUAUAAAACACUCAAUUCAGAUUACAUGCAUAUUUACAAUAACACAGUUCAGAUUACAUGCAUAGCUUAUAUAAAACAAUUAAACAUAUAUAUACAUUAAGAUGCCCUUCUUCUUUUCCUGGUGACAUUCACAUUUGUUUGUCCAUUUACAAUACGAAACGAUGGAUUAAUCCAAAUUCCCUCAUCAUGAUCAUCUCUAAGAUAUAAACCAUCAUCAGUUGAAUCAAUUUCAUGUGGUUGUUGUGAUGUUGCAAAUAAAAGAUCAUUACCAACAUCUUCAUCAUUAUUGUUAUCAUCACUUAUUUUAUUGGUCGAUAGGACAACAGACCAUUUAUCAUUAGAAGGAUCAGUGACAUAAAACACUUGUUGAGCUUGCGACGCUAAAAUAAAAGGCUCGUCUUUGUAUCCCACCCUAUUAAAAUCGACAAGCAAGAAUCCUGACUCAUCAAUCCGAACGCCAUUAUUAUUAUCGACCCACUUGCAACCAAAUAUGGGAACACGAAACAUUGUGUAGUCUAACUCCCAUAUGCGCUCGAUAACCCCAAAAUAUGAUAGAUUUGCAUAUAUUGGGUUUUUGUCUUUUGCACUUGAGACAUGCAUCGCUUCAGCUACGAGAGUGACUCCACUAUUUUGCAUAGUGGUCUGAUCAUCUUGUUCUUUGGUAUAAAAUGUGUAGCCGUUAAUAACAUAACCAGUGUAAGAAAAGACAUGUAAGCUCGGACCAUUUGCUAGCCACCUCAAUCUAUUUGAAAUUGAUCCGGGGUCUAUAUCAAAUUUUGACAUUAUGUGAUUUUUUAACCAUGUUACAAAACUUCGAUUGUGCUCUCGAGUUAUCCAAUUUUGAUUCCUAUUCAUGUUCAAACGAGAUAACUGAUCAAUGUGUAUUGUAACAUACGGUUGAACCUCAUCAUCAUUGUGCAGAACAUACAAUUGUGCCUGCUCCCAUUCUGUCCUUGAUAUAGUCAGUAGUCUCCUUCCAGUUAUCCCUUCUCCUGAUAGUCUUCCCGAAUGACGAGACAUGGGAAGCCCUAUGGAUUCAACAUUGGACAGAUAUUCAGUACAAAAUUCAGCAGCCUCUUCAACAAUGUAUCGUUCAGCAAUACAACCUUCUGGUCGACUUCUACUUUUUACGUACCCUUUUAAUAUUUUCAUAUAUCGUUCUAUCGGAUACAUCCAUCUCAUAUAAGCUGGCCCACAAAGUUGUGUCUCCUUAACCAGAUGAACAGUAAGGUGAACCAUUAUAUCAAAAAACGAUGGUGGGAAAUACAUUUCAAGCUCACACAAAGUAACAACAAUUUCCCUCUGCAAUGUCGGUAAUUUCUGAGGGUCGAUCACUUUACUACAAAUUUCCCUGAAGAAGAAACAUAAUCUAGUUAAGGCUAGUCGAACUUUUUCAGGUAAAAUGGAACGUAUACCUAUUGGUAGCAAAUGCUCCAUUAUAAUAUGACAAUCAUGGGUCUUCAAACCUUUUAACUUGAGGUCUUUCAUACAAACCAAAUUUUUAAUGUUCGAAGAGUAUCCUUCUGGAACUUUAACUUCGUGUAGAAAUUUACAUAAAACAAUUUUUUCCUUUCUAGAUAGAGUAUGAGCGGCUGGAGGUAGAUAUGUGCGAUUUCCUUUCUUUACUGGAGCCAGUUCAUUUCUUAUUCCCAUAUCGACCAAGUCCAAUCUUGCAUUGACGCCAUCUUUAGACUUUCCUGGAACAUUGAGUAACGUACCAAUAACACUUUCAAAUACAUUUUUUUCAAUAUGCAUCACAUCGAGGAAAUGUCUUACAUACAAUGACUUCCAAUAUGGCAAUUCAAAGAAAAUUGACUUUUUCUUCCACCCAGUUUUCACCAGCUCUCCCGCAAAAGGUUUGCCAAAUUUAUUGGUCAAACCUUGUACUUUUUCAAGUAUUUGAUAUCCAGUCGGUGCUAAAGGAGCUUUACCUUCCUCUGAUUUUCCAUUGAAUGCAUUUCUCCACCCACGAUACUGAUGACUAUAAGGUAAAAAUCUACGAUGUCCAAGAAACACAUUCUUCUUACAAUGUUUCAACCGCAUCCAAUUUGUACUCUCUUCACAUAUAGGACAUGCACACUGACCUUUAAUGCUAUAUCCUGAUAAAUUACCAUAUGCUGGAAAAUCAUUAAUUAUGCCGAACAACAUAACCCUUAAAUUGAAACAUUCUUUCUUAUACCCAUCAUAAACUUCCACACCUGUCUCCCACAUACUUUUUAAAUUUUCGAUUAGAGGAGUCAAGUAUACGUCGAUAUCAUUCCCCGGUUGUUUGGGUCCAGAAAUUAACAGAGACAACAUCAUAAACUUACGCUUCAUACAUAACCAUGGAGGUAGGUUAUAUAUUACCAAAAUCACAGGCCACGUGCUAUGUGAGAUGCUUUGAAGACCAUGUGGAUUCAUUCCAUCAGUAGAAAGUGCAAGUCUUAGAUUUCUUGACUCUAUCCCGAAUUCAGGAUACUCGUGAUCAAUUUUUGCCCAUUGUGGGGAAUCUGCAGGGUGUCGAAACAUUCCAUCUCUAAUUCUUUCAUCUGCAUGCCAUGUCAAGUGUUUUGAAUCUUCUUCACUGCGAUACAUGCGCCUAAAUCUUGGUAUUAUAGGAAAAUACCACACGACUUUUGCUGGAGUAGAUUCUUUCUUCUUAUAUCGAGAGACAUUGCAUUUCGGACACGCCUUAAGUAGUUCAUAUUCGUUUCGAAAUAAAAUGCAAUCGUUAGGACACGCAUGAAUCCUUUCGUAACUCAUUCCAAUAGAACACAAAAUCCGUUUAGCCUCGUAGGUCCGACUGGGAAGUUCAUUAUCAUCUGGCAACAUAUCUUUUAUGAGUGUUAAUAAUUCCGUAAAGCUUUUAUCAGACCAUCCAUUACUCGCUUUUAAGUUGUACAACUUUAAUAUCGCUGACAGUCUUGUGAAUUUAGUACAACCAUUAUAUAAUUCUUUCUCUGCAUCACUCAACAAACUUUCAAACAUUUUAGGACAAUCUCGAAGAUCUUCUUCAACUGCUUUUGCAAUCUCAUCAACUCGGUCCGGCUCAUAUGUAUCUGUAUCGAAAUCAGUUGAAGCAUAUGUAGAACUAUUCUCAAAAUUAAUGUUUCCUUUUUUUUUCUCACCAUGUCUUAUCCAACAUGUGUAGCUUUGAUCAAUUCCAUUACAUACUAGAUGUCCUUCUAAUUCAUCUUCUCUAACACGUUUUCCAAAACAACAUUUUAAACAAGGACAAACUACUCUAUUUGGAUCUUUUGCAUUCUUCACUGCAAACUCAACAAACUCCUUCACUCCAAUUUCAUACUCUUUUGACAAUCGAUUGGCUGAAAUCCAUUUCCUAUCCAUAUUAUACCACCUAUAUAAAUGCAGUAACAAAAAUAAUAAGCUUUCAAAACAUAUCAACAAGUUUCAAAAAGAAACCAAUAUCAACUAACAAUUUCAAAACAGAACAGAUCAUGUGGUAUGAGUUUUUGACAAUUUUUGACAAUUUCAAAACAUAACAGAUCAUGUGUAAAAAAUACCUUAGACAACGUAGAUGGCCGCACAGUACGUAGAGGAUAUUAGGGUUCGCAACGUAUAUAAUUAUUUGAAAGAUGUAGAGGAUAUGAGGGUUUCCAACGUAUAUAAUUAUUUUAAAGAUGUAUUUUACAGCGCUUGUGAAAAACGCGCUGUAAUAGGUAGUUAAAUUCAAUGAAAGCGCAUGUGUUUUACAGCGCUUGUGAAAAACGCGCUGUAAUAGGUAGUUAAAUUCAAUGAAAGCGCAUGUGUUUUACAGCGCUUGUGAAAAACGCGCUGUAAUAGGUAGUUAAAUUCAAUGAAAGCGCAUGUGUUUUACAGCGCUUGUGAAAAAAGCGUUGUAAUAGGUAGUUAAAUUCAAUGUAAGCGCAUGUGUUUUACAGCGCUUGUGAAAAAAGCGUUGUAAUAGGUAGUUAAAUUCAAUGUAAGCGCAUGUGUUUUACAGCGCUUGUGAAAAAAGCGCUGUAAUAGGUAGUUAAAUUCAAUGAAAGCGCAUGUGUUUUACAGCGCUUGUGAAAAAAGCGUUGUAAUAGGUAGUUAAAUUCAAUGAAAGCGCAUGUGUUUUACAGCGCUUGUGAAAAAAGCGCUGUAAUAGGUAGUUAAAUUCAAUGAAAGCGCAUGUAUUUUACAACGCUUGUGAAAAAAGCGAUGUAACUGAUACGCGAAAGCGCUUCCUUUUACAGCGCUUUUUUGACAAGCGCUGUAAAAGCCUUAUAACGUGAUGCGCAAACGUUAUAUGACCUACUACAACGCUUGUUUUACAGCGCUUUGAAUCAAAAGCGCUGUAAUAGGUUCCGUUAUUUUUAAAAUAUAAUUACAACAGCGCUUGUGUUUAGCAAGCACUGUAAAAUGGGCGCUGUUAAAUGUCAUUUUUGGCGUAGUGAAUAUAGCAAAGUGGAAGCAAAAGCAAGACAUCAAAAAAACCUUUAAAUACAUAAAGUUAGGAGAUUGUUUAUAUAACCUUUCGAAAUGGGUCUUAUUAUGUAAACAGGAGGUAGUUCACCUGUUAAUAAGAGAAACAACGUGAUUAAUAGCAAAAGACAAAAAAUUCUUUGGUAGUUUAGAGUGGAAAAUAAGUGAUCUAGUCACAUUAAGAAGAUGAGGAUGUUUCCUUUCAACAAUUAAGUUUUCUUGGGGUGUAUCAACACAAGAGGUUUGAUGCAAUAUGCUCAAACUAGAAUAAAAAAGAGGCAUAUUGAAUUCAAGACCAUUAUCAUUGCUGAUUUUCUAGACUUUUGUAUUGAAUUGUAUUUUAACAAAGGAAACAAAGUUUUGAAGGAGCAUAUGAGUUUCAGAUUUAGCAUUCAUUAAAAAUAACCAAGAAAAUCAUGAAUAAUCGUCAACAAUAGUUGGAUAAUAUUGAUGACCAUCAAAAGAAGGAACAUUAAUAGGUCCUCAAAUAUCAACAUGUAUAAGGCUAAAAAUAUGUAAAGAAACAUUUUCACUACGCGGAAAAGGGAUUUUAGCAUUUUAUGCCCAAAUAAAAAGAGUCACAAAUCAUAUUUUUAUUAACUGAAAUGUAAUAAAAUCGUUUACACAUUUGUUGUAACAGGGUUAUUGAUGGAUGACCUAACCUAAAAUGUCAAACAUCAAAUUUAUUUGGUAUAGUGGCAUUAACAAAGGUAGUAUAAUGGUGAUUAGAAACAGGAGCAAAUUCAGUAGAAAAAACCAUAGCAGAGAUAUAAUAUGAUCAAGAAUAUAAAGGCUAUUACAAUGCUCCACAUGUCCUAUCGUCUUAUGGGUAUGCAAAUCCUGAAUUGUAUAAAAAUUCUUAGAAAAUAAUAGUUUGUAAUCCAAAUCAAGAGUGAGUUUUGAAAUAGAUAUUAAACUAAAAUUGAAUUGAUGAAUAAACAACCUAUUUUUCAAGUAAAGAUCAGAAGUAAAGUAAAAAUGUCCUAAAAAAUGCGUAAGAAUAUACGACCCAUUUGGAAAAAUAAUAAAAAUUGGUUCAAUUUGUUUCAUUGAAUAAAAACAUUUGAUAAAUGGACAAACAUGAUCUGAAGCCCCCGAAUCCAUAAUCCAUAGAGAAAAAGGAUUAGAUACGAAACCUGUAUUAGAAAUACUUGAUACUACGUGAUUGGAUUAAUCUGAAAUAGAAUUCUUGGUUUCGAAAGAAGUUACAUCAACAUAUUUAGAAUUAUGUAGCAGAUUAAUCAAAAUAUUAUAAUAUGUUUUGCUAAGAUGAUUGUUGAUUGUUGGAAUCGUGUUGCUGUGUAGGCUAGGAGAGAGAAGGAUUCUUAGAACCAUUUAUUGAAGACGAAUUCAAAGAUUGUUAUUUACGAUAUCAUAGUGGAAAGCCAUGUUUGAAAUAACAUGUGUCUACAAUGUGAUUAUUCUUAUGACAUCGAGUAUAAAACAUGGAGGGCCGAGGCUGACCACGACGAUGAUGGUAUUGCCUGCGACCUUGACCUGAAUUUUUGGAAGUAUUGAUAUUAAAAACAACAUAAGUAUCAGGAGGAUUAUGGUUUGAAUUGGGGACAAGGUCUUAUUGAAAAACGAAAGAAUGCACCUUGUUAAUAUAAGGUAAAGGAUCCAUGAAUAAAAUCUGUGUGUGAAUGUUAUUGUAAUUUUUAUUCAAACCUUUAAGAAAACAAGUGAUAUACUCUUGAUGCUUGAAAUAAUGAACUGUUGUGUUGAGCUUGCAAGAACGAGGAAUAGGGCAUAUGCAUGAUUGUGUUGGGCACAAAUCCUCCAAUUCACCCCAAAGAAUCUUCACAUUGGUGAAAUAGGUAGACAAAGAAUGUUCACCUUGUUUGAUUGAAUGAAGAUCACGAAUUAGAUUGGAAAAUCGAAAAUUAUUUCCUUGAAUGAAACGAUCACGAAGAUCAUACCAUAACUCUAAUGCUGAAUCAAUGCAAAUGGAGAACGUUAAAAACUCAAUAUUGAUUUUGAUUGUGAAAACGGAGAACAUCCUUGGUUCUGGAAACAGAAAAUGGAGAACAUUCUAGGUUAAUUAAAAUCAAUAGUUUAGUUUAUAUGUUUAACUUGAUAAACAAAAGGAUUGAAAGUAAAUAGAGAUAAGAAGAUAGAUGUCACAUAAUGAUAUAUCUUAGUUCACCUAACUCAGGCUAUGUUCAGUGUAACACCCCGUUUUUCAAAGCGAGGGUAUUUUUUUUUUUUAAAAGUAAUUAAAAACGAACGAAGAAAUAAAUCAGGAAAUGCUUUUGGAUAAAUAAUUGAGUCAUUAUAAUUUACGCAGCGGAAAAGUUUCUCCAAUUAUAAAUCCAAAACAUUUUUACAUAAACAUCAAAUGGUACAUGGAACCCAUUCAAAGAUGAUAUCAAACUGAUAAUAUUUAUAUAAGUACAGUUUUCCAAAACUAAAAUACUCCAAACCAAAGAGAAGGACCCCUAGUCCCUAUACAUCAUCCUAAUCUGAUCAUCCUACCAAAAACUAUACACCCUGAGUAAUCUCCACGCGCCCCGUGAGAUCCUCCUAACACAACCGCAGUCAAGCAUUCCCAUCUCCAUCCCUGUCCGUAGGGUACGAACCAGUAGGGCCGUCCUGACUCUCAUCUGAGGGCAAAGCCCAGAUUUCCACAAUAGUGUAAAGGGUCACCAACCAGAAAAUAACAGAUAACACAUAGCAAUUAAGUUUUUGAAUGCUCAAAACAACUUUUCAACUAAGCAUGCACCUUAACAGGAUUUUCAAUGUGCGAAAAGUUCAUACAUUACAUUGCCAAUGAAAAUGAAGGUAAAAUGCAGUUCUCGAUCUCCUAAUUAACACAUGAUAAAACAAGACAUGGAUAGAUUCAUGAGCAAUAAAUCAUACAACUAAAACUGAGGAUUUUCACUGAGCCAAUCGAUUGGGCAAUCGAUUGGGGUGAAGAUUUUUAAUGAAAACAGAAUCCUGGGCUGAAUUCAAUCGAUUGGUAAAUCGAUUGAUUGGUUCCCACAACUUAACACUUAGCAAUUCCUACGCGAUUACUACGACACACGAAGGUUCGAUAACCAUCAUACUCACACACAAUACACAACACAUAGCACUUAACACCUUCAUCUCAGUUAUCACGAUAAAUCAAAAUUCGAAUCACUCAAUCAUAAACUCAAAUCAAACAUGACUCGCGUGCCAGGCACCCUAAUGCAAUGCGUAUAUGCCAAAAUGCAUGGACUCGGAAUUCCAAACCAAAACCCUCCUCGAAGGGCCGUAAAUCAUAAUUGUACCGCCUAUCGCAGGCCAAAGUACCAAUUACCGAGGUGCCACCUAUCACGGGUCAGCACGAUUUACUAAAAUGCGUAAAUCAUAAACGUACCACCUAUCACGGGUCAGUACAGUUACCAUGGUGUCACCUAUCACGGGUCAACUCGAUUUUCUAAAUAGUAACUCGUAAACGUACCACCUAUCACGGGUCAGUACAGUUUACCGAGGUGUCACCUAUCACGGGUCAACACGAUUUACUAAAAGAAAAAGCGGGAAUCGUAAACGUACCGCCUAUCACAGACCAGUACUGUUUACCUAGGUGCCACCUAUCACGGGUCAGCACAAUUCACCAAAAAUGUAAAUCGUAAAUGUACCACCUAUCACGGGUCAGUACAGUUACCAUGGUGUCACCUAUCACGGGUCAACACGAUUUACUAAAAGAAAAAGCGGGAAUCGUAAACGUACCGCCUAUCACAGACCAGUACUGUUUACCUAGGUGCCACCUAUCACGGGUCAGCACAAUUCACCAAAAAUGUAAAUCGUAAAUGUACCACCUAUCACGGGUCAGUACAGUUACCAUGGUGUCACCUAUCACGGGUCAACACGAUUUACUAAAAUGUAAAUCGCAAACGUACAACCUAUCACGGGUCCGUACAGUUUACCAAGGUGUCACCUAUCACGGGUCGACACAAUUUACCAAAUGAAAUGCAUGAGCAUACACAGACUCCAUUCACAACAAUCGUUAAGCAAAUGCAGAUAUUAAAAGAUUCCCCAUUUUUAAUACCCAUUUAACUUAAACGACUUUCAAACAACAUUAAUUAAAUAAGUCAUUAAGAGAUUCCCCGUUCUUAAUACCGAUUUAACUUAAUGAUUUUCAAAACAAAACGUUAAGCAAACAGUCAUAUUAAGAGAUUCCCCAUUCUUAAUACUCAUUUACCGAAACGAUUUUCAAAAACGAUAGUUAAGUAACCGAGACAUUAAGAGAUUCCCCAUUCUCAACGCCCAGUUAACUUAAACAUUUUCCUCAAAUACACAUUAAGUAAACCGAGGUAUUAAAAGAUUCCCCAUUUUUAAUACUCGUUUAACUCUAAUGGUUUUCAAAUUCCACAGAAACAAAUUCAAACAUACUUUCACAUUCAAACCAUAAUUCACAACAACCACACCAAUUAACAAACAUCAAGUACGAACACACCAAAUACAACGAACACAAAUCACGCAACAUAACACCCAGAUACAUCAAAUUUCAUUUACCCAUAAUCAUACACAAUGACAUUCAAAUUCAUUUACCACGAAACAUUCAUCACUAUAAACAAAACCUAACUCUAAGGUUUUUACCCAUAACGCACUAGUUUCGUUUUUCCCCAAAUCGAUACAUUUAACCCUAACAAAUUCCUUCCCACACAACUACAGAUAAGUCCCUAAUGCAAGCUAGAAGUUUGGAAGGAGCCCUUACCUCAACGUUAGCUUUAUCGUGCGUUUCCGGUACCGCGAGAAAUUCCGGUAAAAUCUCCGCUCGCAACGCCGCUUCCAAAUUAGUUCACUAGCACCGUAGCGUGGUGGUGAGCAACUUUCCCUUCUAUCUCUUCGAGAAAUGAGGUUUGGAUCUAGGAGAAACGGAGGGGUUUGUGUUUGGAUCUCAAAACCGUUUUUCUUCGUUUUCGAAUCAAAGAGGAAGAGUGGAGUUGCGAAAACCUUGAUCUAACUCACACCCGACCUUGGGUCACUAGCUUUGAAGAAAAGGAAGCAACGAAAACGAAAAAUGGAGAAGGAUGGAUUUUUGGUUUUUCACGUGAGAUGUUCAGAGGAAGGAGAUGGAAUUCGAGAUUUUCCUUCCUUUCUAUUUCUUUCCUUUGUUUUUCCUUUCUUCCUUUUUCCUUCCUUCCUUUAUAUACUAUUUUCUUUUCCUUUUCCUUCCUUCUAGUUUUCCUUUCUUUUUCCCCCCAAACAAACAUAUAUAAAUAUAAUAAAUAUAACUUAACAAAUAUCUCAAAAUCUAGAUAUUUAUUAAAUUACCGUUUCACCCGAAACGCCUUAAAUUCUUCGUAAAGGAUUUUCCGCAGUUAAAUUCAAUUUAUUUAUCGACGAGAAAUUCUAAUUGGCAUCGAAAUAUCUUUUUGAUUAGAAAACUCCAAAAUAUUAUUAACUUUGGCUUAAAAGCCUCCGAGCCAAAAUCCAAAAUAUACCAAAAAUACAUAAAAGGGUACUUUAAAAUUAUGGGUCUUACAUUCAGUCCUUACAAUUGUGAUAUUUUCCACAAAGCGUUCAAAUGGAGAAAAUUCUUGGUUUUACACAGUUUUGUUCAGAUUAACCUUGAUAUGUAACAACAAUUCAUUUCCACUUAGAAAUGAUUCAAUUAGGUCACUUAUCAAUCUUUAGAGAGGAUUUUACAAUUCACCUUUUAUCCAUAAAAAUGAUUUUCUACAAACUAUAAACAACUAUUAUAGUCUUGAGUUUACAAUAAUGAUUUAAAGAGAUUGGUAGAAUCUGAGUAUGUUCAAAUCGUGUUUGAGAAUACAUUCUUGAUAAAAGAAAUACAUAUAACGGUUCUGAUAUUUUAAAAAGAAAACAUAAUUGAAUCUUUUGUUUAUGAUUGAGAAGUUUUCAAGUAUAUAAGUGUAUGUAAGUGAUGGAUUUCUUAACACUUGAAGUUCUAUUUUUCCUUGAACUUGAGGUUCUUUUUAUAGGCUUCAAGGAGGAUGAUGACAACUACUUUGAUCUUUGGAAAAUAUCCAGCUGUCAUGUGUCAAAUUUGACAAAAUUCGAUAACUUUUAAACCAUGAAUGUUUCUUGACUAGCUUCUCAUUCUUGACCGUGAUUUAUGGUCCUUUAUGCUCAUAGACAUCUCAAAGAUGUGUUCAAUGUAUUCAGAUCGAGAAUGUCUUUGAUUCGAUCAAAACAAGCUAGAGAAGGAUGUACACAUGUUGGAGAUUGAUUGUAAAUAUGCUGGAAAAUGAUGUUAUUUGUAACAUCCCGCUUUUUCGAGACAUUAACUUACAAAAUUCUAAAUGUAAAAAUACAAAUUCAUUUUUAUUUAUUUAUGAUUAUCUUAAAUACCCAUUUACCUUAAUAUCAAUUAAUAAUAUUUUUAGUUAUAUUUUCAAAAAUAAUGAAUCAAAGUAUUUACAAUCACUAAAAGUAAAUUUAAUACGUUAAACAAAAGAAACUCAUAGAGCCAAAACUAUUGAUGUUUUACUACUCAAACAUAAAUCCUAGUUGGUAAUAAACUUUGGAGUUGUGGAAAACUCACCCAAUAAAUCUAACACCCCACAAAAGUACCUCAAAACCUCCAACUAUAUACUUCCUCGCAUUUCUCCUAUUAGGUUGACUAUAAGCUCAAGUAACACUAUAUGUGACGUCGUGUCAAAUGUAAGGGUCAUCUCUAAAAUAUUUUACCAAUAAAUAAAUAACAAUCAAAAUAAAACAGUACAUUACCUACUCAGCCAACAAAAAGGUACAAUAACAAUGAAAAUAUAACAGUACAAUGUUUACAUAAUUAAUAACAUUAAUUCACUCAAACGACCACCUACAGUGACGAUACGAAUAUAACAUUACGAUAUCUACAUAAUUAAUAACAUUAAUUCAUUCAUCCAAACGACUACGAGGUACAAUAACAAUAAAAAUAUAACAGUACGGUUAUAUUUUAUAAAAAUGAAGUGAUUAAUUUUAUAAAAAUGUCAUAGAUAAAUUAUUAGGAGUGCAACAAGACAAUCAAUAUCACCAAAUGAAUGUGUUAUUAUUUUAAUUUUCAAUGAAAAAUUAAUUGUUGUUUUUUAAGUUUAUUUUUUAAUUAAUAUAAUAUACCUUAUUCUUAAGUUACAAUGAGAAAAUAAUGUUACAAUGAGAAAAUAAUAUCUAAUGGUUGGGUGAUGAGUACUAAAUGACAAAAACUAAUUUUUUUGCCUAAAACAAACAUGACAAUUUUAGUGAUAAAAAUUAAUGUAGCGAGUUGAACAAAAUAAUAUGACAUGUAACAUUGUAAUCAAAAGGCAAGUUUAAGUGAAAGAUGGUUCAUCAUAUAUAAGUAGACCAUACUUUAUUUAACAUAGUAAGUGGGAAACAAAACAAUUCAUAGAUGCAUGUUUCUAGUUUUCAUGGAGAUUCCAUGUUUCCAUGUCCUCUUUUCCUACCUUUGUCUCCGUUAUCGGGGUUUCCUCGAUUGUCGUCUUCUUCAACGGGUGGCUCACUAUUGCCGUAUCCCAUGCCACCGCCACCAUAGUUGUAUGCCAUGCCCUGUACCCAUUCUGAUGCCCAACCCAAUGCCAAAUCUCUCAAAGUUCUCCAAUCUACAAACCUUCUUAUUAAAGUACUAUAUUCGGUUUCCUCAGCUGUCACAAUAGUCAUAAGAAGGGGAACACACAGAAAGAAUACUAAGAUAAAAAAUUUUGUUUUCAUCCUUGCUUAAAUUUCCUAAAGUUUGUUGUAAAAUAUGAAUAAUAUCCUCAAAUAUUUAUAGUGGUCACGCAUAGAAAAAAUAAGAUAAUUUUAAAAGACAAAAACAUAUUGAAGAAAAAUAUAUUGCGUACUAAAAAAAAAGACAAUAUGUAUUCCAUGGCCAAUUGUGAAGACAAUGGGUCAUCAAAAUCCAUAGAGACAUGGAAAGGUUAAAUAAAUUAGAACAUGUUUGCCUUUUGGAUCAUGAUAAUUUGAGGAUUAAAGAGACGUUUUAUCCGAUUAAUCUUUUCUAAAAAGUUGCUUUUGGUUAAAUUGUUUCGGAAAAUAGAAUUUAAAACUAGCGAGUUGUAAAAUUUGGCUUCCUAAUAAAUUUAGGAUUAAAGAGAUGUAAUAUUCAAUUAAUUCUAGACGAAUGAUUUAUUUUGACUAUUAGAUGUAUUAAUAUUGGAUUAUUAAAUUUUUAGUUUCUAAAAAGUUUUGAAAUUUUAUUUUUAGUACUUAUUAAAAAAAUUAUAUUUUUUAGUUUCUACAAAAUUAUUAUGUAAACAGUUUAAUUUAUACCAUAUUGGAACAUCAAUAUAAAUAUUUAAAUACUUUUUUUUUGCAUACAUGCUAACAUUAUAAAAAGUUCUACAUAAAUAUCAAAAUUCAAUUUCUAAAUCUAUAUUUUAAAGACUUUUAUCUUAAAUAUAAGAUGUUUAAUUAAUUCAUCCCAAAUAAAAAAAAUUAAAAUUAAUGUGAAUUAAUUUUUAAGAAUAUUCUAAACAGGCUUACAAAAUAUUAUUCAAAAAUUUAAAAGUUGAAGAAUAUUUCAUUUCAUCAAAGACUAAAAUAAUUUGAUUAAUAAUUUUAUAGGAAUUAAAAAAAUGUAUGCAUACAUAAAAAAUAAAAAUAAAUUAUCAUCUUUUUAUCUUAGUAAGGGGUCUAGGAACACAACUAAAACAAAUCAGACGAGAACUUCUCGUUGAAUUAAUUAGAAAUAACUUAUAUUUGGUGUUGGUUAGCAUCCUUCUAAUCAGCUGUUGGGGGCAUUCCUUGUGCCUUCAUUUUAUUGAAUGGAUUUUUCUAAAAUGGAUUUUUCUUUGUUCAAAGAAGAACAAACCAUUGUUGAGUGUUUGCCGUCAUAACCAAUUAUUAAAAUAGAGUAAUAUUAAUGGAAAUGCACAAUUGCUCCUACGAUCCCUUAACUUAAUUUUAAAUAAUACUUUCAUUUUUUUUAUUUGGUCUUUUAUUUAAUAUUAUUACAAAAAUUCGAAAAUAUAAAGAAUGAAAAUAUGAGUUUAUUGGAAUAUUUAAGUUAUUUCAUCGACGUUGUUUCAAUAAAUUAUGAUCUCAUCAACAUAUAUCAAAAUAGAUUUAAUGAAUAAAGAAUGAUAUGAAUUAGAUUGAGUAUAUCCUUUUGAAAUGAGAGUAGAGGAAAGUCUAGCAAACCAUUGCUUACUAGACUGUUUUAAACCAUAAAGAGGUUUUUGAAGUUUACAAACAAUAUUUGGAUUAUGAGCCAAUAACCCAUGGGACAAUUGCAUAUAGACUUCCUCUUCUAAAUUGUCAUGUAAAAAAGCAUUGUGAGCAUCUAACUUAUGAAAAUGCCAAUUAUGAGAUGAUACAAGAGCAAGUAAGAGUCUUACGAUAAUGAGCUUAGCUAAAGUGAAUAAGUAUCAAAAUACUCAAUUCCUUCAAUUUGGUUAAAACAUUUGGCAACAAGGCGUUCCUUAUAACGUAUUAUAGAACCAUCAACGUUAUAUUUUACCUUAUAAACUCAUCGACAACCUAAGGGCUUUUUAACACGUGGCAACUCAGUAAGAGUCCAAGUGUUGACUGAUCGAGUAGCUGAGAUUGCAUGGUCUGAACCUAAUUAUUGUAUGUGACAACUUGUUGAAAGCUAGUAGGGUCACGAACAGUAGAAAUAAAGGAAAAAUAAAUGAUAGAAAAAAUAUGACAAUUUUGACUAAGAUAAGACCUGAUAUAAAUGAUACAAUAUAUAGGACUUAUGGCGCCUAUCAUGUGCAAAAUUACACUCAAAAUCUUGUAAGUAAGCAGGGACCUUGUUAGACCUUGAAGACCUACAAAUAGUAUCUUGAUGCUCAUCAAAAUCAAAGAUAAGGGAAGUAUGUAAAUUGUUGGGACUAGUAUCAAGACUAGAUGAAGGAGUUGGAGCAAACAUAAUACUAUCAUCAGUGGAGUUAUUAACAUAAACAAUUAUUAGGCAAAAGCAUAUUAGUAUCAUCAAACAAAAUAAAGGAAUCAUGAGAAUCAUCAUUAAUAUGCAAGGAAGUAGAAUUAAGAUUAACAUAUGCAAAAACAUGUUCAUAAAAAACUACAUUCCUAGAAACAAAGGUGACAUGAGUAUGUAAAUCAAGCAUCAAAUAACCUUUAGUUCCUUAUCUAAAUCCAAGGAAAAUACACUUGGUAUCCCUUGGAUCAAGUUUAGUUCUAUGAUGAAGCAAAGUGGAAGCAUAAGCAAGACAUCGAAAAACCAUUAAAUACAUAAAGUUAGGAGAUUGUUUAUAUAACAUUUCGAAAGGGGUCUUAUUACGUAAAACAGGAGGUAGUUAACAUGAUAAUAAGAAAAGCAACAUGAUUAAUAGUAGAAGACAAAAAAUUCUUUGGUAGUUUAGAGUGGAAAAUAAGUGAUCUAGUCCCCUAAUCCAUAAUCCAUAGAGAAAAAGGAUUAGAUACGAAACUUGUAUUAGAAAUACUUGAUACCAUGUGAUUGGAUUGAUCUGGAAUAGAAUUCUUGGUUUCGAAAGAAGUUACAACAUGAUAUUUAGAAUUAUGUAGCAGAUUAAUCAAAAUAUUAUAAUAUGUUUUGCUAAGAUAAUUGUUGGAAUCGUGUUGCUAUCUAGGUUAGGAGAGAGAAGGAUUCUUGCAACCAUUUGUUGAAGACGAAUUCGAAGAUUGUUUUUUACCAUAACUUAGUGGCAAGCCAUGAUUGAAAUAACAUGUGUCUACAAUGUGAUUAUUCUUAUGGCAUUGAGUAUUAAACAUGGAGGGCCGAGGUUGACCAUGAUGAUGCGAGAAUUUCCCGUGACCUUGACCUGAAUUUUUGGAAGUAUUGAUAUUAAAAAAAAAAACAUAAGUAUCAGGAGGAUUAUGGUUCGAAUUGGGGACAAGGUCUUAUUGAACAAAGAAAGAAUACACCUUGUUAAUAGAAGGUAAAUGAUCCAUGAAUAAAAUCUGUGUGUGAACGUUAUUGUAAUUUUUAUCCAAAACUUUUAGAAAACAAGUGAUAUACUAGCUUGCAAGAACGAGGAAUAGGGCAUAUGCAUGAUUGUGUUGGGCACAAAUCCUCCAAUUCACCCCAAAGAAUCUUCAAAUAGGUGAAAUAGGUAGACAAAGAACGUUCACCUUGUUUGAUUGAAUGAAGAUCACGAAGGAGAUAGGAAAAUCAAAAAUUAUUUCCUUUAAUGAAACGAUCAUGAAGAUCAUACCAUAACUCUGAUGGUGAAUCAAUGCAAACGGAGAACGUUAAAAACCCAAUAUUGAUUUUGGUUGUAAAAACAGAAAACGAAGAACAUCAUUGGUUCUCGAAACAGAAAAUGAAGAAUAUUCUAGGUUAAUUAAAAUCAAUAGUGUAUAUAUUUAACUUGAUAAACAAAAGGACUGAAAGUAAAUAGAGAUAACAGGAUAGAUAUCACACAAUGAUAUAUCUUAGUUCACCUAACUCGGGCUAUGUUCAGUCCUUACAAUUGUGAAAUUUUCCACUAAGCUUUCUAAUGGAGAACGUUCUUGGUUUUACACAGUUUUGUUCAGAUCAACCUUAAUAUGUAACAACAAUUCAUUUCCACUUAGAAAUGAUUCAAUUUGGUCACUUAUCAAUCUUUAGAGAGGAUUUUACAAUUCACCUUUUAACCAUAAAAAUGAUUUUCUACAAACUAUAAACAAUCCUUAUAGUCUUGAGUUUACACAAUGAUGAUUUAAAGAGAUUGGUAGAAUCUGAGUAUGUUCAAAUCGUGUUUGAGAAUAUAUUCUUGAUAAAAGAAUUCAUUAUAACAGUUCUCAUAUUUGAAGAAGAAAACAUAACUGAAUCUUUUGUUUAUGAUUGAGAAACUUUCAAGUAUAUAAUUGUAUGUAAGUGAUGGAUUUGUUAACACUUGAAGUUCUAUUUUUCCUUGAACUUGAAGUUCCUUUUAUAGGCUUCAAGGAGGUUGAUGACAACUACUUUGACCGUUUGAAAAUAUCCAAGUUGUCAUGUGUCAGAUUUGACCAAAUACCAUAAUUUUUAAAUCAUGAAAGUUUCUUAACUAGCUUCUCAUUAGACCAAAGGUUUCUCUCUCAUGAACCGAUGACAGGGUUGAGGAACACAAGAUUUUACAGCUAUGAAGACCUCAUUCUCAUCCCUUUAACAUAAAACAAUUAUAACAAACGAAGAAAAAACAACAACUUCCAAUUUUACAUGUUGGAUCAUCUCCCACAUUCCAACCCCUUGCCACACCGCCACACUUCAAGGGUCAUCCAAAAAAAAUUUCAAUUUAUUUCUGCCUCAUUAAAACACCAAGCACAAUACUUCUAACCAAAAAAAGGAAAAACUCCUAAAAGUGAUGUUUAUUUACGAAAAAAAUGAUUAUUUUUUAAAAAAACUUGUAAUAAAUAGGUACACUUUAUUUUCUUUUAAUUAGAAAUUUAAAAAUCAAACCAUUAACCUGACGAGCUGAAUAAACUAAUACAAUCCAAACGAAUUAAAUUAAUUUAUUUUGUAUUGGAGUCCAAAAUAUAUUAAAUAAAUCCUACUUCUAUUGGUUCAUAAAUCCUACUUUUAUAAAAUUGUCAUAGAUAAAUUAUUAGGGGCGCAACAAGACAAUCAAUGUCACCAAAUGAAUGUGUAAUUUUAAUUUUCAAUGAAAGAUUAAUUGUUGUUUUUUAAGUUUAUUUUUUAAUUAAUAUAAUGUACCUUAUUCUUAAGUUACAAUGAGAAAAUAAUGUUACAAUAAGAAAAUAAUAUCUAAUGGUAUUGGGUGAUGAGUACUAAAUGACAUAAAGUAAUUUUCUUGCCUAAAACAAACAUGACAAUUUUAGUGAUAAAAAUUAAUGUAAACACUAGAUGGUUCAUCAUAUAACAGUAGACCAUACUUUAUUUAACAUAGUAAGUGGGAAACAAAACAAUACAUAGAUGCAUGUUGCUAGUUUUCAUGGAGAUUCCAUGUUUCCAUAUCCUCAUCUCCUACGUUUAUUACCAUUUUCUCCUUCACCUUCGUCUUCAAUGGGUCCCUCACUAUUGUCGUCUUCUUCAACGGGUGGCUCACUAUUGUCGUCUUCUUCAACGGGUGGCUCACUAUUGCCGUAUCCCAUGCCACCAUAGUUGUAUGCCAUGCUCUGUGCCAAUCCUGAUGCCCAACCCAAUGCCAUAUCUCUCAAACUUCUCCAAUCUAUAUACCUUCUUAUUAAAGUACUAUAUUCGGUUUGCUCAGCUGCCACAAUACUCAUAAGAAGGGGAGCACACAGAAAGAACACUAAGAUAAAAAAUUUUGUUUUCAUCCUUGCUUAUAUUUCCUAAAAUUUGUUGUAAAUUAUGAAUAAUAUCCUCAGAUAUUUAUAGUGAUCACGCAUGGGAAAACUAAGAUAAUUUUAAAAGACAAAAACAUAUUAGAGAAAAAUAUAUUGCAUACUAAAAAAAAGACAAUAUGUAUUCCAUGGCCAAUUGGGAAGACAA
This 41151-nucleotide long non-coding RNA is filed under the name Cicer arietinum (chickpea). RNAcentral's name for it is "long non-coding RNA (CARI_LNC000581)". The record is from RNAcentral. Lineage: Eukaryota; Viridiplantae; Streptophyta; Magnoliopsida; Fabales; Fabaceae.